RNAcentral lists this small nuclear RNA (107 nucleotides) under Aotus nancymaae (Ma's night monkey). The record is from RNAcentral. Lineage: Eukaryota; Metazoa; Chordata; Mammalia; Primates; Aotidae.
GUGCUUGCUUCAGCAGCACAUAUACUAAAAUUGGAAUGAUACAGAGAAUAUUAGCAUGGCCUGUGUGCACAGAUGACACGCAAAUUCGUGAAGCGUUCCAUGUUUUU